RNAcentral lists this non-coding RNA (101 nucleotides) under Bacillus sp. (in: firmicutes). RNAcentral describes it as "Bacillus sp. TPP sequence". It matches the Rfam family "TPP riboswitch aptamer (THI element)". From Rfam's summary of the family: Vitamin B(1) in its active form thiamin pyrophosphate (TPP) is an essential coenzyme that is synthesised by coupling of pyrimidine and thiazole moieties in bacteria. The previously detected thiamin-regulatory element, thi box was extended, resulting in a new, highly conserved RNA secondary structure, the THI element, which is widely distributed in eubacteria and also occurs in some archaea. The record is from RNAcentral. Lineage: Bacteria; Bacillati; Bacillota; Bacilli; Caryophanales; Bacillaceae.
AACAAUUUGCAGGGGGACGCUUUUGGCGUUGAGAAGGUUAAAACCUGACCCUUAGAACCUGUUCAGUUAACACUGGCGUAGGGAGCAAAGUACACGGUAGU